GACGAACGCUGGCGGCGUGCUUAACACAUGCAAGUCGAACGGUGAAGGGAUCAGCUUGCUGGUUCUGGAUGAGUGGCGAACGGGUGAGUAACACGUGAGUAACCUGCCCCCUUCUUCUGGAUAACCGCAUGAAAGUGUGGCUAAUACGGGAUAUUCUGCGCCUGCUGCAUGGUGGGUGUGGGAAAGAUAUUGUUUCGGUGGGGGAUGGGCUCGCGGCCUAUCAGCUUGUUGGUGGGGUGAUGGCCUACCAAGGCGGUGACGGGUAGCCGGCCUGAGAGGGGGGACGGUCACACUGGGACUGAGACACGGCCCAGACUCCUACGGGAGGCAGCAGUGGGGAAUAUUGCACAAUGGGCGCAAGCCUGAUGCAGCGACGCCGCGUGAGGGAUGGAGGCCUUCGGGUUGUGAACCUCUUUCGCCAGUGAAGCAGGCCUGUCCCUUGUGGGUGGGUUGACGGUAGCUGGAUAAGAAGCGCCGGCUAACUACGUG
RNAcentral lists this ribosomal RNA (489 nucleotides) under uncultured bacterium. Its description in RNAcentral is "partial 16S ribosomal RNA". It matches the Rfam family "Bacterial small subunit ribosomal RNA", at positions 28 to 507 of the family's 1533-position model. The record is from RNAcentral.